RNAcentral lists this ribosomal RNA (301 nucleotides) under uncultured bacterium. Its description in RNAcentral is "partial 16S ribosomal RNA". It matches the Rfam family "Bacterial small subunit ribosomal RNA", at positions 509 to 808 of the family's 1533-position model. The record is from RNAcentral.
CAGUCGCCGCAGGAAUACGAAGGGUGCAAACGUUGCUCGGAAUUAUUGGGCGUAAAGCGCACGUAGGCGGCUCCGCAAGUCGGAUGUGAAAUCCCUCGGCUUAACCAAGGAAGUGCAUCCGAAACUGCAGAGCUUGAGUACUUAAGAGGAUCGCGGAAUUCCCGGUGUAGAGGUGAAAUUCGUAGAUAUCGGAGGAACACCGAUGGCGAAGGCAGCCCCCUGGGCCAAUACUGACGCUCAUGCACGAAAGCGUGGGGAGCAAACAGGAUUAGAUACCCCCGUAGUCCCUGUCUCUUAUACA